UUUAUUUUUAACUGAUGUUACAAAAACCCGAUAUAGUUGAUAUGUUAAUGGGUAGUCGAUAAUAUAUAUGCUGCAUUUAAUAAAUUUUGUGGAGGGGAUUGUAACAUGUUACAUGACUACAUUUUGAGAUGGGCAUUGUAUUUUGUGGGAAAAUGUCAACUAAAUCCGUUAAUGACAACCUCCACGAAUUGUUGAGCAGACGGGUUUUGUGUGAACUGAAAAGAGUAGUGUUAAUGAGUAAAGAGACAAUUCCUGUUGAGAGAAAAUUGCUGGGAUUUUGUUGAGUGGAACUGGAUUUGAUGUCGCAAAUAACGGCAAGCGUGGGAAAUGUAUACGGUACAUGUUCACGAUGCUUAUCUACCAAACAGGUAUGUUCCUCUAGACGGUUGUGACGGCUUCUGGGUGGAUAAGUGAGUGUUACAGAGGGUUUUUCAAGUUUUACCAGCAAAGUGCUAAGACCUCACUGUUGUUGUAACGUCUUACGGAAGCCUCGUUUCCGUCCCCAAAUAUAAACAUCACCGGAGUUUGAAACCAUCGUCGUUAACGGUUAAAGACAUGAAUAUCGCACUUGUUCUGAGGUGUAUCUGGCAUUUGGGUUUGUGACAUGAAGGAAGUUGUUGCAGGGUAUGAACUGGACUAUUGUCAUUCCCGGUUGAGUACAUUUGACUCUUGGGAGCAGACGUUUGUUGUGUGUGUGUGUUGUGGGUUUUUUUUCAGUCUCAAACUCAAAUAGCCAUGUAUCUUUCAUUUUGCAAAAUUAAUUGUUUUACAUUUAUCAUUUGUAUUUGAUGUUUGUUUGUUUUUGCGGAAUAAAUUUAUAUAGAUCAAUA
Long non-coding RNA from Ostrea edulis (European flat oyster), 830 nucleotides. RefSeq lists it as uncharacterized. The transcript has 2 exons. Lineage: Eukaryota; Metazoa; Mollusca; Bivalvia; Ostreida; Ostreidae. The record is from RefSeq and is a predicted model, not a curated record.